Molecule: transfer RNA, 75 nt
Filed under: Mus musculus (house mouse)
Lineage: Eukaryota; Metazoa; Chordata; Mammalia; Rodentia; Muridae
Description: tRNA-Ser
Source: RNAcentral
GGAGAGAUGGCUCAGCGGUUAAGAGCACUGACACUGCUCUUUCAGAGGUCCUGAGUUCAAUUCCCAGCAGCCACA